CCUACGGGAGGCAGCAGUGAGGAAUAUUGGUCAAUGGGCGAGAGCCUGAACCAGCCAAGUCGCGUGAGGGAAGACGGUCCUAUGGAUUGUAAACCUCUUUUGUCGGGGAGCAAAAAGGCCUCGUUAGGCCACAAGUUAGAGUACCCGAAGAAAAAGCAUCGGCUAACUCCGUGCCAGCAGCCGCGGUAAUACGGAGGAUGCGAGCGUUAUCCGGAUUUAUUGGGUUUAAAGGGAGCGUAGGUGGAUUGUUAAGUCAGUUGUGAAAGUUUGCGGCUCAACCGUAAAAUUGCAGUUGAAACUGGCAGUCUUGAGUACAGUAGAGGUGGGCGGAAUUCGUGGUGUAGCGGUGAAAUGCUUAGAUAUCACGAAGAACUCCGAUUGCGAAGGCAGUUCACUGGACUGCAACUGACACUGAGGCUCGAAAGUGUGGGUAUCAAACAGGAUUAGAUACCCCUGUAGUC
This 461-nucleotide ribosomal RNA is filed under the name uncultured bacterium. RNAcentral's name for it is "partial 16S ribosomal RNA". It matches the Rfam family "Bacterial small subunit ribosomal RNA", at positions 338 to 795 of the family's 1533-position model. The record is from RNAcentral.